UUCCGGUAACGAACGAGACUGAAACCUAUUAAUUAAUUAUUUAUCCAUUGAGGUGAAUAUAUUUUUUAUUAAAUACGUGUUUACACGAUUACUUAAAGGGACACAUUUCAAUUGUUUUUUAUUAAUUUCAUGAUAAAGUAUUACUUUAACUGAUUUUAAUGAGAAAAAAAGGAAAUGGAUCCAUUCAGCAAUAACAGGUCUGUGAUGCCCUUAGACAUCUUGGGCUGCACGCGCGCUACAAUGAAGUUACUAGAGAGUAAUUUAUUGGAAGGUCGUGUUAUAUGAGACUUUGUUUUAUAUAAUAUAAAAAAUUUCAAUGUCCCAAAGAUUA
This 331-nucleotide ribosomal RNA is filed under the name Entamoeba terrapinae. RNAcentral describes it as "partial small subunit ribosomal RNA". The stretch from base 1 to 239 matches the Rfam family "Eukaryotic small subunit ribosomal RNA", at positions 1323 to 1501 of the family's 1831-position model. The record is from RNAcentral. Lineage: Eukaryota; Evosea; Mastigamoebida; Endamoebidae.